ACGGAAGGCAGCAGUGGGGAAUAUUGGUCAAUGGAGGCAACUCUGAUCCAGCCAUCUCGCGUGAAGGAAUACGGCCCUACGGGUCUUAAACUUCUUUUAUAGGGGGAUAAAGUGAGGCAUGCAUGCCUUUUUGUAGGUACCCUAUGAAUAAGCAUCGGCUAACUCCGUGCCAGCAGCCGCGGUAAUACGGAGGAUGCGAGCGUUAUCCGGAUUUAUUGGGUUUAAAGGGUGCGCAGGCGGCACGUUAAGUCAGCGGUGAAAUGUCGGGGCUCAACCCGGGCACUGCCGUUGAAACUGGCGAGCUUGAGUACGGAUGAAGUCGGCGGAAUGUGAUGUGUAGCGGUGAAAUGCUUAGAUAUGUCACAGAACACCGAUUGCGAAGGCAGCUGACUAAUCCGCAACUGACGCUCAGGCACGAAAGCGUGGGGAGCGAACAGGAUUAGAUACCCUGGUA
This 454-nucleotide ribosomal RNA is filed under the name uncultured bacterium. Its description in RNAcentral is "partial 16S ribosomal RNA". It matches the Rfam family "Bacterial small subunit ribosomal RNA", at positions 341 to 792 of the family's 1533-position model. The record is from RNAcentral.